Molecule: ribosomal RNA, 251 nt
Filed under: uncultured bacterium
Lineage: Bacteria
Description: partial 16S ribosomal RNA
Rfam family: Bacterial small subunit ribosomal RNA
Source: RNAcentral
UACGGAGGGUGCAAGCGUUAUCCGGAUUUACUGGGUUAAAGGUGUGUAGGCGGGCUUUUAAGUCAGUGGUGAAAUCUCCGGGCUCAACCUGGAAACUGCCAUUGAUACUAUUAGUCUUGAAUUUUGUUGAGGUAGGCGGAAUAAGUCAUGUAGCGGUGAAAUGCAUAGAUAUGACUUAGAACACCAAUUGCGAAGGCAGCUUGCUAAACAAAUAUUGACGCUGAGGCACGAAAGCGUGGGGAUCAAACAGG